This 257-nucleotide ribosomal RNA is filed under the name uncultured bacterium. RNAcentral's name for it is "partial 16S ribosomal RNA". It matches the Rfam family "Bacterial small subunit ribosomal RNA", at positions 524 to 776 of the family's 1533-position model. The record is from RNAcentral.
UACGAGGGGGGCAAGCGUUGUUCGGAUUUAUUGGGCGUAAAGAGCUCGUAGGCGGUCUGUCGCGUCUGCUGUGAAAACUCGGGGCUUAACCCCCGGGCCUGCAGUGGGUACGGGCAGACUAGAGUGCGGUAGGGGAGACUGGAAUUCCUGGUGUGAGCGGUGAAAUGCGCAGAUAUCAGGAGGAACACCGGUGGCGAAGGCGGGGUCUCUGGGCCGUAACUGACGCUGGAGGAGCGAAAGCGUGGGGAGCGAACAGG